CUUCCUAUCAGUACCUAUAGCCCUCUUCAUGGAGGGUGUUAAAUUUACCCCUGCUUACCUGCAAUCUACAGUAAGAACUUCUUUGUUGAAAAUGAUUGGUACUGCUGUUAGCAUUCUCAAAUCAAAAUACAUUACUCUUUCCGUAACAAAAUUAAGCAAAAAAGUACAUACAUGGAUCAAAUCCAUGUAAUUUUUUAUUUAUAGUUUUGUUACUGAGUGAGUAUUUUGAUGAUGCUACUAAUAUAUGAUUGAUGUCAUUUUUAUUCACAGGGAUUAGAUGUUCAACAAGUGUACAUUAGAUCUCUUCUUGCUGCGCUUUGUUACCAUGCGUAUCAGCAAGUGAGUUUUCAUCUUCUAUGCACAUUAUAUUUUCCCCUUUUAUUCAAGAGUGUUACAAUUUCCACUUCUUUUUGUGAAAAAAUAAAUCAAGACUUCAUUAGUUAUAAUUCACUGAAAACAAAAUAAAAUUAUUUAGUAUGAAAUGGUUUAUCAUAUGUGCAGGUUUCUUAUAUGAUAUUGGAGAGAGUAUCACCUGUUACUCAUUCUGUAGCAAACUGUCUGAAGCGUGUGAUAGUUAUAGUGAGCUCUGUCAUAUUUUUCCAAACACCUGUCUCACCAAUUAACGCAUUAGGUACUAAAAUAAAAUUGCUUCCUUCUUUUUAACCAUAUAUAUCUCUUGUUGAAACUGAAAAUUUUAUGUGCUUAUUAAUUCUCUGCAGG
Molecule: long non-coding RNA, 720 nt
Filed under: Medicago truncatula (barrel medic)
Lineage: Eukaryota; Viridiplantae; Streptophyta; Magnoliopsida; Fabales; Fabaceae
Description: long non-coding RNA (MTRU_LNC002383)
Source: RNAcentral